RNAcentral lists this ribosomal RNA (272 nucleotides) under Synechococcus sp. BL8. Its description in RNAcentral is "partial 16S ribosomal RNA". It matches the Rfam family "Bacterial small subunit ribosomal RNA", at positions 1263 to 1533 of the family's 1533-position model. Lineage: Bacteria; Bacillati; Cyanobacteriota; Cyanophyceae; Synechococcales; Synechococcaceae. The record is from RNAcentral.
AAUAGAGAAUCUCAUAAACCGUGGCUCAGUUCAGAUCGUAGGCUGCAACUCGCCUACGUGAAGGAGGAAUCGCUAGUAAUCGCAGGUCAGCAUACUGCGGUGAAUACGUUCCCGGGCCUUGUACACACCGCCCGUCACACCAUGGAAGUUGGCCACGCCCGAAGCCGUUACUCCAACCCUUGUGGAGGAGGACGUCGAAGGUGGGGCUGAUGACUGGGGUGAAGUCGUAACAAGGUAGCCGUACCGGAAGGUGCGGCUGGAUCACCUCCUAA